AUUGAACGCUGGCGGCAUGCCUUACACAUGCAAGUCGAACGGCAGCGGGGACUUCGGUCCGCCGGCGAGUGGCGAACGGGUGAGUAAAGUAUCGGAACGUACCUUUCAGUGGGGGAUAACUGUCCGAAAGGACAGCUAAUACCGCAUAUUCUGUGAGCAGGAAAGCAGGGGAUCGCAAGACCUUGCGCUGAUUGAGCGGCCGAUAUCAGAUUAGCUAGUUGGUGAGGUAAAGGCUCACCAAGGCGACGAUCUGUAGCGGGUCUGAGAGGAUGAUCCGCCACACUGGAACUGAGACACGGUCCAGACUCCUACGGGAGGCAGCAGUGGGGGAAUUUUGGACAAUGGGGGCGAACCCUGAUCCAGCCAUGCCGCGUGAGUGAAGAAGGCCUCGGUUGUAAGUAC
Molecule: ribosomal RNA, 402 nt
Filed under: uncultured bacterium
Lineage: Bacteria
Description: bacterial SSU rRNA
Rfam family: Bacterial small subunit ribosomal RNA
Source: RNAcentral